AUUGAACGCUGGCGGUAUGCUUAACACAUGCAAGUCGAACGGUAACAGGCCUUCGGGCGCUGACGAGUGGCGGACGGGUGAGUAACGCGUAGGAAUCUGCCUCAUAGUGGGGGACAACGUGGGGAAACUCACGCUAAUACCGCAUACGCCCUACGGGGGAAAGGACGGGGGAGUCUUCGGACCUCGCGCUAUGAGAUGAGCCUGCGUUAGAUUAGCUAGUUGGUAGGGUAAAGGCCUACCAAGGCGACGAUCUAUAGCUGGUCUGAGAGGACGAUCAGCCACACUGGGACUGAGACACGGCCCAGACUCCUACGGGAGGCAGCAGUGGGGGAAUAUUGGACAAUGGGCGCAAGCCUGAUCCAGCAAUACCGCGUGUGUGAAGAAGGCCCCAGGGUUGUAAAGCACUUUCAAUUGGGAGGAAAACCUAGCCGGUCAAUACCCGGCAGCUUGAC
Molecule: ribosomal RNA, 452 nt
Filed under: uncultured bacterium
Lineage: Bacteria
Description: bacterial SSU rRNA
Rfam family: Bacterial small subunit ribosomal RNA
Source: RNAcentral